Molecule: ribosomal RNA, 594 nt
Filed under: Nemania diffusa
Lineage: Eukaryota; Fungi; Ascomycota; Sordariomycetes; Xylariales; Xylariaceae
Description: eukaryotic LSU rRNA
Rfam family: Eukaryotic large subunit ribosomal RNA
Source: RNAcentral
UAAGCAUAUCAAUAAGCGGAGGAAAAGAAACCAACAGGGAUUGCCCUAGUAACGGCGAGUGAAGCGGCAACAGCUCAAAUUUGAAAUCUGGCUCUUUAGGGCCCGAGUUGUAAUUUGUAGAGGAUGCUUUUGGCGCGGUGCCUUCCGAGUUCCCUGGAACGGGACGCCUUAGAGGGUGAGAGCCCCGUACGGUUGGACACCAAGCCUCUGUAAAGCUCCUUCGACGAGUCGAGUAGUUUGGGAAUGCUGCUCUAAAUGGGAGGUAAAUUUCUUCUAAAGCUAAAUAUUGGCCAGAGACCGAUAGCGCACAAGUAGAGUGAUCGAAAGAUGAAAAGCACUUUGAAAAGAGGGUUAAAUAGCACGUGAAAUUGUUGAAAGGGAAGCGUUUGCGACCAGACCUUUUCCUAGCGGAUCAUCCGGUGUUCUUCGCCGGUGCACUUCGCUAGGUCGAGGCCAGCAUCGGUUUCUGCAGGGGGAUAAAAGCCCAGGGAACGUAGCUCUUUCGGGAGUGUUAUAGCCCUCCGCAUAAUACCCUUGCGGGGACCGAGGACCGCGCUUUUUGCAAGGAUGCUGGCGUAAUGGUCGUCAACGACC